AUGCUCAGCUGGCUCAGAACUUCCUUCCCUCCCCCUAAGGCACCGAGUUCUGGCACGCACACGCACCCCCCCCCCAUCUCCUUGGCCUUCCUGCUCCUCAGCCUCCUCCUGACGCCCAGCCUCUACUCCUCGGGGAGGUCCUGCUCAUCCUUCGGGAGCAGCCAGGAGUCCCCUGCUUAUAAGGUCCCGUUAAGGAACGUGCGCCCCGUGCCCUCCACCCGGCAGAUUAGGGCACCUUGCCCGUGUUCCUCUGGGUCAUUGCGUGCCUCCUGCCCCCCACCAUUCAGCCCGAUUCCAUUAUCAAUGGAACAUGGUGGCUCUGGAGCCAGUAGCUGGGAUCUGAACUCAAGCUGUCUGGCUCCAGAGCCACCAUGUUCCAUUGAUAAUGGAAUCGGGCUGAAUGGUGGGGGGCAGGAGGCACGCAAUGACCCAGAGGAACACGGGCAAGGUGCCCUAAUCUGCCGGGUGGAGGGCACGGGGCGCACGUUCCUUAACGGGACCUUAUAAGCAGGGGACUCCUGGCUGCUCCCGAAGGAUGAGCAGGACCUCUCCGAGGAGUAGAGGCUGGGCGUCAGGAGGAGGCUGAGGAGCAUGAAGCCCAAGGAGAUGGGGGAGGGGGGGGCGUGUGCGUGCCAGAACUCAGUGCCUUGGAGGGAGGGAAGGAAGUUCUGAGCCAGCUGAGCAUCAGCGUCUCCAGCUUCACCUCAGGGGCCAAAGGCACGGAUGGCCUAAAAGCCACGGGUUCAGAAGACACGCCGACUUGAGGAGAAGCCCAAAAGGAAAGCCAGUCGUGUUGCUCCUCUGGACGUUGCAGGCUUUGCUAAGCAAGGCACAGCGCCCAGACCCCGGGAUGGAAAAGCCCGGCACAUCUGACUACUUCAAAACGGAAACCUUCCUUGUGACGAAGACGGGAGCAACACGAGAGACUAGUGUGGCAGGAAGUUCUUGGGAACGUCUGAGCACCAGAAGCCCUAUGUCAUCUCGGGAGGGACUGUGCUGACGAUUGCGUUUCCCGGGCUCCUCACCGCUCCUGGAGCCUCUCCAAUCAAAGGGGGUGCGUUUUGCUGUGGGUUAGGCCUGCUCUGGGCACCGUGCACACACCACCUCAUGCUGUACUGUCUCCAUUUUUGCUCCACUGCGGAAACGCAAUCACUAAAGACCUUCGAUGACUCCCCCAAGGUCACACAGCUAGUAAGGGGUAGCCAGGGUUCAAAGCCAGGCGGUCUGGCCUCCUCUACCGUUCUCUUAGCCACAGCCUCUGUUGCCCCUGGGCCUCCCCAAGGCAAGGAGCCACGCUCACCUAGGCCUCGGAGUCCCGUCCAGUGUCUGGGCUUUCUGUUUGCGUGUCUGGGUAUCUCUUCCAUGGCCCCUGAGCGGCCUGGUGGAUAAGACUUAGGGACCUGGCUGGGAGAAGAGGCAUGAGUCAUGAGGGAAGCAGGCUUUGGGGCCGAGAAUUCCUGGGUCCUUUGGCCCGGCCUCAGCAGCUGGCCUCAGGGGCCUGCCAAGG
RNAcentral lists this long non-coding RNA (1507 nucleotides) under Vulpes vulpes (red fox). RNAcentral describes it as "lncRNA (ENSVVUG00000011302.1)". The record is from RNAcentral. Lineage: Eukaryota; Metazoa; Chordata; Mammalia; Carnivora; Canidae.